UUUCAUCAGAAUCGGUUGAAAGCUGUGGUCAGGGGAGGGUUCAACCUGACAGACACACAGACAGACAAAUUGCCAUUUAUAUAGAGAGAGAUUACAAAUUGUAUAGAAAAAAAUUGUUAAUAUUUUGGACAUUGCAGGAUUAUGACCAAUUUAUUCCACAUAAAUAAUAAAAUCCCAUAUGGACCCAUCCACCCCAGUGUCAUAUUGACCCCAGUUGAGAACCACAGUUCUAGACAAAACAAAGUAACAAAACUGUUGUUUUUUAUUUGUUAGGGUUAAAGGAAGGGGCAGUGCCCACAGUCUUUGUAACCUUUCUGAUAUAGGUGUGACUGAGGCCAUUAACACUCUCCUUGAACAGCAUUGGCAUCUGUGUGAAAGGCAUAAGCUGGGUGAUACUUCCAGAUGGCCACCAACACUCUGGACGGGACUGUUUGUAGUGAUUAGUAUAGGAGGCCUGAGUGAGGGGUUUAGAUAUAUCGAGGGUAAGGAUGAGGGGGGUGAAUAAGGACAACUGGCUUGGAAAUGUCUGAAUGAAAAUUGUACAAGCCUACUUAUUUGUGAGGUGUAGUGCACCUGUGAGCUAAGGAUGGAGUCUUUGAGGGACUUUAUGACAGUCAAACCAUGAAACAUUUUCUAGAUAUCUUUUGUAUGUCAGUGUUGCAGCAGCACUGUCUCAGAUAUGAGAGUAAUACUCUUAAUGGGAAGCUUCUGUAGUUUAAAUAUUUAAAGCUAUAAAAUAAUCGUGUUGGCAAGGAUAUAUCAUAAAAUGAGCAGCAUAUUUGAUAUUUCAAAGAUUUUUUUUUUAUUGUAUAUUCUCUAUUCCUUUAACAUGGAUCAUUAUUAAUAGUCUAUACUUUGCUAUAAUAAGUGCUAUGUAAGUUUAGGCCUAGCUUUUAUAGCUGCUAUGUAAGAGGGUUAGCAUAGCCUUGUACUAUUAUAAAACUUAAAAUUAAUGUAAUAAACAUUUAAUAUAUAAAACACAAUUGUUUAAGCAAACCUGAA
This is a long non-coding RNA of Octopus sinensis (East Asian common octopus), 1002 nucleotides long. RefSeq lists it as uncharacterized. The record is from RefSeq and is a predicted model, not a curated record. The transcript has 2 exons. Lineage: Eukaryota; Metazoa; Mollusca; Cephalopoda; Octopoda; Octopodidae.